Molecule: long non-coding RNA, 627 nt
Filed under: Musa acuminata (dwarf banana)
Lineage: Eukaryota; Viridiplantae; Streptophyta; Magnoliopsida; Zingiberales; Musaceae
Description: long non-coding RNA (MACU_LNC005412)
Source: RNAcentral
GAACCAUCUUCAUCUCAGGAGAUGAAGUUUGUAAGGAGUUGUUGUUGAGGUUAUAAUUCGGUUCUUUAGAAUCUGGUUCAAACUAGACAGCCACAUCCAUGUUCCUGAGCAUGCUUGUUCAACACAAUAAUGGGAAGUGUAGUUUAGGUCACCCCACACCCCCCAUGUGUACCCCAACCGAGGCACGGAGAUGGCUUCUUCCCCUCCCAAGAGCACACCAUGAGUGCUCUCCCGCUGCAAAUCAUUAAACAACUAUUACUAUGUGGCACAAGCAGAAGGCUUCCCUAUGACCAAAUGGGGCUCAAGUGGCCAGCAUCAGUGCCCUGCUCUGGUCUGGUUCAACCCAAGCAGGCCAUUGGUUGCCCCCACCACCCUUCCCCCAACAGGGACAGACAGCCUCUUAUGCAGUGUCUGAUCCCAAUGCUAUUGGCAUGGUCCCUCACUCUUCCCCAUUCGAUCCCCACCCAGUGACUUCCAUAGGGUAAUAAUAUGAAGUACUACAAGGAACUGCCCAGGUAGCAAGCAGCGUACCACACUCUGCUCGCCUCUUCUCAUUCCCUCUCCAUUCCCAGUCGUGUACAUUAUUUUACUGCAAUGCAUUGGGAACUGACCUGUAGGAGGGAGAGA